Molecule: unclassified non-coding RNA, 2514 nt
Filed under: Hevea brasiliensis (rubber tree)
Lineage: Eukaryota; Viridiplantae; Streptophyta; Magnoliopsida; Malpighiales; Euphorbiaceae
Source: RNAcentral
UUUUUUUUUUUUUGUGAUAAAAAAAAAUAAAAAGAUAAAUGAGCAGAAUUCAAUUGAAAUGGAUUUAAUUUUAUAAUUUUCAAUCUAUUACGCUCUAUCCCUCGAAACCAACGCCGUCGGGUCGUUUCACUCACCGCGUCAAUUUCUUCUCGCCUCCGUUCUCAGUCACAUUAACGCUCGAUUUCUUUCCCCUCCCUCUACUCUCGAUUUCCCUUAUUUGUUGUGUCUUACACUCUCCGUUUUGAAGAAUCUCCUCAGACCUCAAGGGUCAGUUCACUAUCAAGGAGGACAAGGACCCUUUUGCUUGCUACUUCUCACUUCACUUAUUUCUUCUCUCCUUACAGUUCAAGAAACACCCAAACAACACAGGUGAGUAAAAAUUAACCCUCUUGCUUGCUAUCUUUAUGACCUGAUAGCUCUCGAUUAUGGAUUAUUUCCUCUAUUCUGCAAUUUUCUAUGAUUUGCACGUCUUUUAUUUAUUUCACAUUUCUGCCAUUUUCAGUCUUGUGGAUUAAUGAAAUUCCUAGAACAGUUGUUGUUUGAUUAUGAUUGGUGAAUCGUUUUGCCUCUGAAAUGUUAAAUGUACAGUAUCUGAUAUAUAAAGCAAGAUGGGAAAUGGAAAGUUAGUACCAAAAUUGAUGGCAAAAUGGUCAAGCAGGAUUGCCAUUUGAAGCACAAGACCUUCUUUGUGACUUUUUCUAUUGUUGUAUUAGGUAUUAAGUGAUAAUUGUUUAGGUACUUGUUCUGCAUGUAUAAUUAUUGCCCAUUUAUUGGUCCUAACUAAAUUCUUCUGCAAAUGCUUGGAUCGAUAAUAAAAUAUUUGUUUGUUCAAUAAGAUUUGAAAUUUGAAAAUUUCUACCAAUUAACUAUAGCUUGAUUGUAUUAGAGUAGUAUACAUGCUGUAAGGUCUCGAGUUUCCUAGUAAGAGCCAAAUAUAUCAAAAAAAGAAAAAAAAAAUCAUUAGUGUUACUGCAUUAUGCCUCUUUAGUGCUACUUUGGCAUUAUGGUUGGAUGACCAAAACUGCUUUUCACCAUUUUAGAUGAUGUUUAAAAAAGCAGUAGUGCCCGUUUGUUAUUGUGGUGGGAGGGCCAAAAUUGAUUUUCAGGAAAAGAAAAAAAGCCAUUUUAGAUGUUGUUUAAAAAAACAAUUUGGAAAAAAAAAGUUAUUGUUACUUUAGUGAUCUUGUUACUAAAACUUAUUGAAUUUAUUCUUAAAUCAUUUUUUAAUCUCAACAGCAAUUCCAAUAAUAAUGUCAAACAGAUCUUUAAUGUGCUGCUGCUGUUAUUCAAGUGUUCAUGUCAAGAGUGGUGAACUGAACUGAUGAUGGCCCAAAAUAGAAUGUAUGACUUUUAAAGAAUGUGCAACAUAAGCCCAAAACUGAUGAAUCAAAUCAAAUAGAACUAGUUCAGUUCGAUUCAGUUUGGUUUUAGUCUUUGUUUGGAUCGGUUUAGAUUCUAAGUUAGUUCUGUUUCUCGGUUUUUCAACUAAACUGGCUAAUGCUUACCCCUAAAAACUAUGAAAAAAAAAGACUGCUUUAAAUGUUUGUGCAGCAACAUGACACCGUAUUAAUCCUCGACACUUGCAUUCAUUUUUUUUAAUAGUCUCAGCCCUCUGGUCUGUGCUAAUUGCUAAAUUAGCAAUUAUGCAGUUGGUUGUGGUGGCUGAGGACAAGAUCUAAUGCAGUGUUGGAGUCGUCGCAGUGUUAGUCUUUGCAGUACAGUUUCUUUAGGGAGAUGGCAAUGGACUCGACACUCCUGCACCAAAUUAUUUGUUGGAGGGCUUUCUUAUGACACCAAUGAAACUGUUUUGAAGGAUGCGUUUAGACAGCAUGGGGAAAUAAUUGAAGUUAAAAUUAUAUGUGAUCAUGUGAGUGGCAAGUCACAAGGGUAUGGAUUUGUGCAGUUCACUUCCGAAUCUGCAGCCUCUAUGGCUUUGAAAGAAAUGAAUGGUCAGGUACAUGAUUUGAUUAUACUUUUGUAGGAUCUUUUACUCUUUUCUUUCUGCAUUAUGGUAUGGUCUAUUAAUGUUGUGUCCAUUAAUUAAUGUUCUUUUCAGUUUCUGGAUGGUAGACAUGUUCGCGUAUGUUUUGCGCAUAAGGGGUGACAAGAAGGAGCCAUGUAUUUGUGUUUGCCAAAGAUGCAUGUUAGGAGCUUCUUCCACAGCUGGACGCUGGACUUGCAAAAAUAAGAUUAGUUUGUUAGGCAUGUCCGUAGUUUCUUUAGGCCUUGUUUAGUUCAAACUCUCUACUUCCCAGGAAGUUCUUACCCUCAUCCUGAUGGAGUUUUUAAGUUACUUUCCUUGAAUUGAAGGAAGUUGCUUCAUUUACUUCCCAGGAAGUGAGUUAAAAUGGCAACCAAACAAGUUAAAUUUGUCAACUUCUUGGGAAGUUAAAGUUCCCUAGUGAACUUACCCCAACCAAACAAGGUUUAGUUAAAUCAAAUAAAUUUCUCAUAAAAUUAAACUAAGGCCUUGUUUGUUUGGGUAAAUUCACUUACAGAAAGUUAAUAAAUUCA